AUUGAACGCUGGCGGCAUGCUUUACACAUGCAAGUCGAACGGCAGCGCGGGCUUCGGCCUGGCGGCGAGUGGCGAACGGGUGAGUAAUGCAUCGGAACGUGCCCAGGAGUGGGGGAUAGCCCGGCGAAAGCCGGAUUAAUACCGCAUACGACCUGAGGGUGAAAGCGGGGGACCGAAAGGCCUCGCGCUAUUGGAGCGGCCGAUGUCGGAUUAGCUAGUUGGUGGGGUAAAGGCUUACCAAGGCGACGAUCCGUAGCUGGUCUGAGAGGACGACCAGCCACACUGGGACUGAGACACGGCCCAGACUCCUACGGGAGGCAGCAGUGGGGAAUUUUGGACAAAGGGGGCAACCCUGAUCCAGCCAUGCCGCGUGCGGGAAGAAGGCCUUCGGGUUGUAAACCGCUUUUGUUCGGGAAGAAAUCCUCUGGGCUAAUACCCCGGGGGGAUGACGGUACCGGAAGAAUAAGCACCGGCUAACUACGUG
RNAcentral lists this ribosomal RNA (484 nucleotides) under uncultured bacterium. Its description in RNAcentral is "partial 16S ribosomal RNA". It matches the Rfam family "Bacterial small subunit ribosomal RNA", at positions 29 to 507 of the family's 1533-position model. The record is from RNAcentral.